This 586-nucleotide ribosomal RNA is filed under the name uncultured bacterium. RNAcentral's name for it is "bacterial SSU rRNA". It matches the Rfam family "Bacterial small subunit ribosomal RNA", at positions 338 to 916 of the family's 1533-position model. The record is from RNAcentral.
CCUACGGGAGGCAGCAGUAGGGAAUCUUCCGCAAUGGACGAAAGUCUGACGGAGCAACGCCGCGUGAGCGAUGAAGGCCUUCGGGUCGUAAAGCUCUGUUGUUAGGGAAGAACAAGUAUCGGUUAACUACCGGUACCUUGACGGUACCUAACCAGAAAGCCACGGCUAACUACGUGCCAGCAGCCGCGGUAAUACGUAGGUGGCAAGCGUUGUCCGGAUUUAUUGGGCGUAAAGCGCGCGCAGGCGGUUCUUUAAGUCUGAUGUGAAAUCUCGCGGCUCAACCGCGAGCGGUCAUUGGAAACUGGGGAACUUGAGUGCAGAAGAGGAGAGUGGAAUUCCACGUGUAGCGGUGAAAUGCGUAGAGAUGUGGAGGAACACCAGUGGCGAAGGCGACUCUCUGGUCUGUAACUGACGCUGAGGCGCGAAAGCGUGGGGAGCGAACAGGAUUAGAUACCCUGGUAGUCCACGCCGUAAACGAUGAGUGCUAAGUGUUAGAGGGUUUCCGCCCUUUAGUGCUGCAGCUAACGCAUUAAGCACUCCGCCUGGGGAGUACGGCCGCAAGGCUGAAACUCAAAGGAAUUGACGG